GGUCAAGUGAAGAAGCGCAUACGGUGGAUGCCUUGGCAGUCAGAGGCGAUGAAAGACGUGGUAGCCUGCGAAAAGCUUCGGGGAGUCGGCAAACAGACUUUGAUCCGGAGAUGUCUGAAUGGGGGAACCCAGCCAUCAUAAGAUGGUUACCUUACACUGAAUACAUAGGUGUAUGGAGCGAACCAGGGGAACUGAAACAUCUAAGUACCCUGAGGAAAAGAAAUCAACCGAGAUUCCCUUAGUAGUGGCGAGCGAACGGGGACUAGCCCUUAAGUGGCUUUGAGAUUAGCGGAACGCUCUGGAAAGUGCGGCCAUAGUGGGUGAUAGCCCUGUACGCGAAAAUCUCUUAGUCAUGAAAUCGAGUAGGACGGAGCACGAGAAACUUUGUCUGAAUAUGGGGGGACCAUCCUCCAAGGCUAAAUACUACUGACUGACCGAUAGUGAACUAGUACCGUGAGGGAAAGGCGAAAAGAACCCCGGAGAGGGGAGUGAAAUAGAUCCUGAAACCGUAUGCGUACAAGCAGUGGGAGCCCACUUUGUUGGGUGACUGCGUACCUUUUGUAUAAUGGGUCAGCGACUUAUUUUCAGUGGCGAGCUUAACCGAAUAGGGGAGGCGUAGCGAAAGCGAGUCUUAAUAGGGCGUCUAGUCGCUGGGAAUAGACCCGAAACCGGGCGAUCUAUCCAUGGGCAGGUUGAAGGUUGGGUAACACUAACUGGAGGACCGAACCGACUACCGUUGAAAAGUUAGCGGAUGACCUGUGGAUCGGAGUGAAAGGCUAAUCAAGCUCGGAGAUAGCUGGUUCUCCUCGAAAGCUAUUUAGGUAGCGCCUCAUGUAUCACUGUAGGGGGUAGAGCACUGUUUCGGCUAGGGGGUCAUCCCGACUUACCAAACCGAUGCAAACUCCGAAUACCUACAAGUGCCGAGCAUGGGAGACACACGGCGGGUGCUAACGUCCGUCGUGAAAAGGGAAACAACCCAGACCGUCAGCUAAGGUCCCAAAGUUAUGGUUAAGUGGGAAACGAUGUGGGAAGGCUUAGACAGCUAGGAGGUUGGCUUAGAAGCAGCCACCCUUUAAAGAAAGCGUAAUAGCUCACUAGUCGAGUCGGCCUGCGCGGAAGAUGUAACGGGGCUCAAACCAUACACCGAAGCUACGGGUAUCACGUAAGUGAUGCGGUAGAGGAGCGUUCUGUAAGCCUGUGAAGGUGAGUUGAGAAGCUUGCUGGAGGUAUCAGAAGUGCGAAUGCUGACAUGAGUAACGACAAUGGGUGUGAAAAACACCCACGCCGAAAGACCAAGGUUUCCUGCGCAACGUUAAUCGACGCAGGGUUAGUCGGUCCCUAAGGCGAGGCUGAAAAGCGUAGUCGAUGGAAAACAGGUUAAUAUUCCUGUACUUCUGGUUAUUGCGAUGGAGGGACGGAGAAGGCUAGGCCAGCUUGGCGUUGGUUGUCCAAGUUUAAGGUGGUAGGCUGGAAUCUUAGGUAAAUCCGGGAUUCUAAGGCCGAGAGCUGAUGACGAGAUCAUCUUUUAGAUGACGAAGUGGUUGAUGCCAUGCUUCCAAGAAAAGCUUCUAAGCUUCAGGUAACCAGGAACCGUACCCCAAACCGACACAGGUGGUUGGGUAGAGAAUACCAAGGCGCUUGAGAGAACUCGGGUGAAGGAACUAGGCAAAAUGGCACCGUAACUUCGGGAGAAGGUGCGCCGGUGAGGGUGAAGGACUUGCUCCGUAAGCUCAUGCCGGUCGAAGAUACCAGGCCGCUGCGACUGUUUAUUAAAAACACAGCACUCUGCAAACACGAAAGUGGACGUAUAGGGUGUGACGCCUGCCCGGUGCCGGAAGGUUAAUUGAUGGGGUUAGCUAACGCGAAGCUCUUGAUCGAAGCCCCGGUAAACGGCGGCCGUAACUAUAACGGUCCUAAGGUAGCGAAAUUCCUUGUCGGGUAAGUUCCGACCUGCACGAAUGGCGUAACGAUGGCGGCGCUGUCUCCACCCGAGACUCAGUGAAAUUGAAAUCGCUGUGAAGAUGCAGUGUAUCCGCGGCUAGACGGAAAGACCCCGUGAACCUUUACUAUAGCUUUGCACUGGACUUUGAAUUUGCUUGUGUAGGAUAGGUGGGAGGCUUUGAAGCGUGGACGCCAGUCUGCGUGGAGCCAACCUUGAAAUACCACCCUGGCAACUUUGAGGUUCUAACUCAGGUCCGUUAUCCGGAUCGAGGACAGUGUAUGGUGGGUAGUUUGACUGGGGCGGUCUCCUCCUAAAGAGUAACGGAGGAGUACGAAGGUGCGCUCAGACCGGUCGGAAAUCGGUCGUAGAGUAUAAAGGCAAAAGCGCGCUUGACUGCGAGACAGACACGUCGAGCAGGUACGAAAGUAGGUCUUAGUGAUCCGGUGGUUCUGUAUGGAAGGGCCAUCGCUCAACGGAUAAAAGGUACUCCGGGGAUAACAGGCUGAUACCGCCCAAGAGUUCAUAUCGACGGCGGUGUUUGGCACCUCGAUGUCGGCUCAUCACAUCCUGGGGCUGAAGCCGGUCCCAAGGGUAUGGCUGUUCGCCAUUUAAAGUGGUACGCGAGCUGGGUUUAGAACGUCGUGAGACAGUUCGGUCCCUAUCUGCCGUGGACGUUUGAGAUUUGAGAGGGGCUGCUCCUAGUACGAGAGGACCGGAGUGGACGAACCUCUGGUGUUCCGGUUGUCACGCCAGUGGCAUUGCCGGGUAGCUAUGUUCGGAAUAGAUAACCGCUGAAAGCAUCUAAGCGGGAAACUAGCCUCAAGAUGAGAUCUCACUGGAACCUUGAGUUCCCUGAAGGGCCGUCGAAGACUACGACGUUGAUAGGUUGGGUGUGUAAGCGCUGUGAGGCGUUGAGCUAACCAAUACUAAUUGCCCGUGAGGCUUGACCAU
RNAcentral lists this ribosomal RNA (2893 nucleotides) under Pseudomonas sp. W4I3. RNAcentral's name for it is "23S ribosomal RNA". It matches the Rfam family "Bacterial large subunit ribosomal RNA". Lineage: Bacteria; Pseudomonadati; Pseudomonadota; Gammaproteobacteria; Pseudomonadales; Pseudomonadaceae. The record is from RNAcentral.